This is a small nuclear RNA of Callithrix jacchus (white-tufted-ear marmoset), 107 nucleotides long. The record is from Ensembl. Lineage: Eukaryota; Metazoa; Chordata; Mammalia; Primates; Cebidae.
GUGCUCGCUUCAGCAGCACAUAUACUAAAAUUGGAAUGAUACAGAGAAGAUUAGCAUGGCCCUUGUGCAAGGAUGACACAAAAAUUCCUGAAGUAUUCCAUUAAAAA